RNAcentral lists this ribosomal RNA (497 nucleotides) under uncultured bacterium. RNAcentral's name for it is "partial 16S ribosomal RNA". It matches the Rfam family "Bacterial small subunit ribosomal RNA", at positions 28 to 507 of the family's 1533-position model. The record is from RNAcentral.
GAUGAACGCUGGCGGCGUGCCUAAUACAUGCAAGUCGAGCGAACAGACGAGGAGCUUGCUCCUCUGACGUUAGCGGCGGACGGGUGAUUAACACGUGGAUAACCUACCUAUAAGACUGGGAUAACUUCGGGAAACCGGAGCUAAUACCGGAUAAUAUAUUGAACCGCAUGGUUCAAUAGUGAAAGACGGUUUUGCUGUCACUUAUAGAUGGAUCCGCGCCGCAUUAGCGAGUUGGUAAGGUAACGGCUUACCAAGGCAACGAUGCGGAGCCGACCUGAGAGGGUGAUCACCCAAACUGGAACUGAGACACGGUCCAGACCCCUACGGGAAGCAGCCGUAGGGAAUCUUCCGAAAUGGGCGAAAGCCUGACGGAGCAACGCCGCGUGAGUGAUGAAGGUCUUCGGAUCGUAAAACUCUGUUAUUAGGGAAGAACAAAUGUGUAAGUAACUAUGCACGUCUUGACGGUACCUAAUCAGAAAGCCACGGCUAACUACGUG